Molecule: non-coding RNA, 30 nt
Filed under: Rattus norvegicus (Norway rat)
Lineage: Eukaryota; Metazoa; Chordata; Mammalia; Rodentia; Muridae
Source: RNAcentral
UGCUUUGGUCAAGGUGUUUGACACAGUAAU